ACGUCACAAUUUACAGCUCUUUGAUUGGCUUAGAAGUUUUAGAAUUUCAGCCAAGACAAUCAGAGAGCUUUAAAUUGUGAUG
This is a non-coding RNA of Paramuricea clavata, 82 nucleotides long. The record is from the annotation of a GenBank genome assembly. Lineage: Eukaryota; Metazoa; Cnidaria; Anthozoa; Malacalcyonacea; Plexauridae.